AAUAUACUAGAAGCGCCAGAACCCCGAUGGGGUUGACGAGGAGAGGGAGUAUCGAAGAUUCGGCGGAUGCCCUCCGGCCCAGUUACGGCCGAUAACGCAGCAUAAAACCCAAGAGGUAACCCUGGGUACAAAAACUGCAGGUAACUAA
RNAcentral lists this non-coding RNA (148 nucleotides) under Desulforamulus aeronauticus. RNAcentral's name for it is "Desulfotomaculum aeronauticum GlcN6P sequence". It matches the Rfam family "glmS glucosamine-6-phosphate activated ribozyme aptamer". Rfam says of the family: This entry contains a glucosamine-6-phosphate activated ribozyme that is found in the mRNA for GlmS. GlmS is an enzyme that uses fructose-6-phosphate and glutamine to generate glucosamine-6-phosphate. The ribozyme catalyses self cleavage of the glmS mRNA that is thought to regulate GlmS activity. Lineage: Bacteria; Bacillati; Bacillota; Clostridia; Eubacteriales; Peptococcaceae. The record is from RNAcentral.